GGGGGUGUAGCUCAGUGGUAGAGCACCUGCCUAAUCUAUUAGAUGCCCUGGGGUCCAUCCCCAGCAUCACCA
RNAcentral lists this transfer RNA (72 nucleotides) under Heterocephalus glaber (naked mole-rat). It matches the Rfam family "tRNA". Rfam says of the family: Transfer RNA (tRNA) molecules are approximately 80 nucleotides in length. Their secondary structure includes four short double-helical elements and three loops (D, anti-codon, and T loops). Further hydrogen bonds mediate the characteristic L-shaped molecular structure. tRNAs have two regions of fundamental functional importance: the anti-codon, which is responsible for specific mRNA codon recognition, and the 3' end, to which the tRNAs corresponding amino acid is attached (by aminoacyl-tRNA synthetases). tRNAs cope with the degeneracy of the genetic code in two manners: having more than one tRNA (with a specific anti-codon) for a particular amino acid; and 'wobble' base-pairing, i.e. permitting non-standard base-pairing at the 3rd anti-codon position. Lineage: Eukaryota; Metazoa; Chordata; Mammalia; Rodentia; Bathyergidae. The record is from Rfam by way of RNAcentral.